GCAGGUUUAUGAACAUAUGAAAAUCUUGAAAAUUGACAGUCUGGAUAAUGUAUUGCAAGAUGUACUAGUUUUGGGACUCAAAAUCUUUUUUUCUUUCAUAUUCAUACAUCUCGAUGUCGAGAUGAUCAACUACAAGUUUUUUCAAUAUUAAAACAACAUUUUCCGAUGUAUUUUUGGGGUACAUAUGUAAUUUUACAUUUUAAGCAACCUUAUAUAAACUUUUUCCAUUAUGAUUUACUUUAUUGAAAUAGUGAAUUGGCCAGUACAUUCAAACAUGCCCCUAAUGUAUGGAAAAAGUUUAUAUAGAGCCAACGCUCUAAAAAAUCAAAUUAGAGCUCACCUCAUAAGGUUGUUUUGAUGCCCAAAUGUCUUAAAAUUUGAUAGUGUGAAUUAAUAUUGGUCAUAAACAUUGAAUUUAACUAUUUUAGUCACAACCUUUAAAUAUAGUUAAUUUGUAGUUUAAAUAAUAAAUGGUGAUGUAAUUUAAAAAAAAUUAUUGUGAAAUGGUAAAGUAUUUUAAACAUUAGAUUGAGAUAUUGUAAGCAAUUUAUCA
RNAcentral lists this long non-coding RNA (553 nucleotides) under Amborella trichopoda. RNAcentral describes it as "long non-coding RNA (ATRI_LNC002746)". Lineage: Eukaryota; Viridiplantae; Streptophyta; Magnoliopsida; Amborellales; Amborellaceae. The record is from RNAcentral.